This 22-nucleotide microRNA is filed under the name Sarcophilus harrisii (Tasmanian devil). RNAcentral describes it as "Sha-Mir-7373-o3_3p (mature (guide))". Lineage: Eukaryota; Metazoa; Chordata; Mammalia; Dasyuromorphia; Dasyuridae. The record is from RNAcentral.
CAGGCACUAAGAAAGGGUUUCU